AUUGAACGCUGGCGGCAGGCCUAACGCAUGCAAGUCGAGCGGAUGAAGGGAGCUUGCUCCUGGAUUCAGCGGCGGACGGGUGAGUAAUGCCUAGGAAUCUGCCUGGUCGUGGGGGAUAACGUCCGGAAACGGGCGCUAAUACCGCAUACGUCCUGAGGGAGAAAGUGGGGGAUCUUCGGACCUCACGCUAUCAGAUGAGCCUAGGUCGGAUUAGCUAGUUGGUGGGGUAAAGGCCUACCAAGGCGACGAUCCGUAACUGGUCUGAGAGGAUGAUCAGUCACACUGGAACUGAGACACGGUCCAGACUCCUACGGGAGGCAGCAGUGGGGAAUAUUGGACAAUGGGCGAAAGCCUGAUCCAGCCAUGCCGCGUGUGUGAAGAAGGUCUUCGGAUUGUAAAGCACUUUAAGUUGGGAGGAAGGGCAGUAAGUUAAUACCUUGCUGUUUUGACGUUACCAACAGAAUAAGCACCGGCUAACUUCGUG
RNAcentral lists this ribosomal RNA (484 nucleotides) under uncultured bacterium. RNAcentral describes it as "partial 16S ribosomal RNA". It matches the Rfam family "Bacterial small subunit ribosomal RNA", at positions 30 to 507 of the family's 1533-position model. The record is from RNAcentral.